UAUGGUAGAGGCGCUAUAUAUAAUUAGUAUCUUAUUUUAGUGGGCACACGUUUUGAGGAUAAGAGAAAGGUAUAAUAGCCGAAGGAUAAAAAUAUUUGCAAUUUUUUAUUCUGGGUAUGCAUAUAAUAUAUGUAUAACUGUCACGAAAGUGGAGGGCUACAA
This 162-nucleotide non-coding RNA is filed under the name uncultured Clostridium sp. RNAcentral's name for it is "Lysine riboswitch". It matches the Rfam family "Lysine riboswitch aptamer". From Rfam's summary of the family: Riboswitches are metabolite binding domains within certain messenger RNAs that serve as precision sensors for their corresponding targets. Allosteric rearrangement of mRNA structure is mediated by ligand binding, and this results in modulation of gene expression. The record is from RNAcentral. Lineage: Bacteria; Bacillati; Bacillota; Clostridia; Eubacteriales; Clostridiaceae.